ACGGGUGAGUAAUGUCUGGGAAACUGCCUGAUGGAGGGGGAUAACUACUGGAAACGGUAGCUAAUACCGCAUAACGUCGCAAGACCAAAGAGGGGGACCUUCGGGCCUCUUGCCAUCGGAUGUGCCCAGAUGGGAUUAGCUAGUAGGUGGGGUAGCGGCUCACCUAGGCGACGAUCCCUAGCUGGUCUGAGAGGAUGACCAGCCACACUGGAACUGAGACACGGUCCAGACUCCUACGGGAGGCAGCAUG
Molecule: ribosomal RNA, 250 nt
Filed under: uncultured bacterium
Lineage: Bacteria
Description: partial 16S ribosomal RNA
Rfam family: Bacterial small subunit ribosomal RNA
Source: RNAcentral